RNAcentral lists this ribosomal RNA (858 nucleotides) under uncultured bacterium. Its description in RNAcentral is "SSU rRNA". It matches the Rfam family "Bacterial small subunit ribosomal RNA", at positions 524 to 1381 of the family's 1533-position model. The record is from RNAcentral.
UACGAAGGGACCUAGCGUAGUUCGGAAUUACUGGGCGUAAAGCGCGCGUAGGCCGUGGAGUUAGUUAAUUGUGAAAUCCCAAAGCUUAACUUUGGAACUGCAAUUAGAACUGCUCGACUAGAGUUUGAUAGAGGAAAGCGGAAUACAUAGUGUAGAGGUGAAAUUCGUAGAUAUUAUGUAGAACACCAGUUGCGAAGGCGGCUUUCUGGAUCAACACUGACGCUGAGGCGCGAAAGUAUGGGUAGCAAAGAGGAUUAGAUACCCUCGUAGUCCAUACCAUAAACGAUGAUUGCUAGAUGUUGGAAAUUUAUUUUCAGUAUCGCAGCUAACGCAUUAAGCAAUCCGCCUGGGGAGUACGACCGCAAGGUUAAAACUCAAAUGAAUUGACGGGGACCCGCACAAGCGGUGGAGCAUGUGGUUUAAUUCGAAGAUACGCGCAGAACCUUACCAACCCUUGACAUGUCUGUCGCGAGUUUAGGAAACUAGACUUUUCGGUUCGGCCGGACAGAACACAGGUGCUGCAUGGCUGUCGUCAGCUCGUGUCGUGAGAUGUUGGGUUAAGUCCCGCAACGAGCGCAACCCCUACUUUUAGUUGCCAUCAGGUCAUGCUGGGCACUCUGAAAGAACUGCCAGUGAUAAGCUGGAGGAAGGUGGGGAUGACGUCAAGUCCUCAUGGCCCUUACGGGUUGGGCUACACACGUGCUACAAUGGUAGUGACAAUGAGAUGCAAGGUGGCGACGCUAAGCUAAACUCAAAAAUCUACCUCAGUUCGGAUUGCACUCUGCAACUCGAGUGCAUGAAGCUGGAAUCGCUAGUAAUCGUAGAUCAGCGUGCUACGGUGAAUACGUUCCCGGGUCU